CACAGUUCAACAUUCCACUGAUGUGCAGCCCUUCCUGAGAAUCACUGCUUCCCGUUGAUUGCUCAGCACCACGAGGCGGUUUCUUGAAAGAAUGAAUUGCUCUUAGUGUACAUAGGUUCUGUGAAUUUAGACAUACACAUUUAACUCCCUUGGAACAAGCAUCAGGACAAGAGUCUUUAUGUACUCUACGUGGCCAGAGCACACUGUCUCAGUUAUUUGUGGUAUCUCAGGAGAUCUCUGUUGUACUCGCUGGAACAAAGUGUGGAAAGGAGGCAAAAAGCCAAGUGGCAGGAUAUCUGCUGAGAAAGCUGAGAAGAUGAGUGUCUCGCAGGAGAAAAUGGAAGACAGCAGAUCUCACAUGACAUCCAAAGAAUACAAGCUACAAAAGGAUCAGCAUCUCAUAAAGAAUUUUAAGACAUUACAAGACAUUGCAAGGUAAAGAUCUUUUUUUCCCCCCCUAUCUUUAUUACCAUAUUCAUCAACUGAAAAGCUGGUUUCUAGUAUAAUUUCAGGAAUGAACAUAUUGAUCAUGAAGAUUAUGGCAAUUCUUAAAUUAUUUCCAGGAUCAGUAAAGAAAGCCAGUCAAAUUUUCCUAGAAAUUUUUCCUUCAAAAUAUUUAUCUUUAGUGUCGUGAUUAAGUGUCUAAUAUGUCAUAUAUCUGCCAAUUUUGGGUGCUACUUUUAAUUAGGGUUCUGAUGUUUCUGAUGCUCUCUAAAACCAUUAUAUUUACCUUGUACGUGAUUACAAACAAGAUUGUGGGAGCCUUCAGACUCCUGCUCUUGAGACACCAAAAAGCAAAGUCACAUAUGGCAGGAAGCUUUCAGUGAAGUUUACUUUGAAAAUAAAUGCGUGGCAAUAGCAUGAGAAAGUGUGAAG
This 876-nucleotide long non-coding RNA is filed under the name Calidris pygmaea (Spoon-billed sandpiper). RNAcentral's name for it is "lncRNA (ENSCPGG00000012621.1)". Lineage: Eukaryota; Metazoa; Chordata; Aves; Charadriiformes; Scolopacidae. The record is from RNAcentral.